AAUCCAUGGUGCGGGCAUUUUUGAAUCAACAUUUUGAAUUGUUCUCAUUCCUCAUAAAAACUUUCUCCCUCCAUUCGUCUAAAGACAACAAUAUUUCUUCUUAAUU
Molecule: small nucleolar RNA, 106 nt
Organism: Gossypium raimondii (Peruvian cotton)
Lineage: Eukaryota; Viridiplantae; Streptophyta; Magnoliopsida; Malvales; Malvaceae
Rfam family: Plant small nucleolar RNA R71
About the family: R71 is a member of the C/D box family of snoRNAs containing the C (UGAUGA) and D (CUGA) box motifs.
Source: Rfam